This 2487-nucleotide ribosomal RNA is filed under the name Triticum aestivum (bread wheat). RNAcentral describes it as "partial small subunit ribosomal RNA". The record is from RNAcentral. Lineage: Eukaryota; Viridiplantae; Streptophyta; Magnoliopsida; Poales; Poaceae.
AUGCUGCUCCCGCACCGGAGACCCAGCCACCGUCUUCUCCGGCAGCAGCCGACCCCGCCCCCGCCCCCAUCCCAAACGCCGCCGCCGCCCCGUCGCCGCGUCCCUCCUGCGGAGGCUCCGCCACCACCUCGCCGCCGCGCCCCUCCCCUCGACCCGUCGGCCUACGCGGGCCUCCUCCGGGCCGCGUCGAGGGGGCGGUCGCUGACGCUGGCCAGGCUGACCCACUCCCACAUGCUCCGCGCCGGCUUCCAUCCGGGCCUCUUCCUCCGCAACAACCUCCUCGCCGCGUACUGCCGCGGCGGCGACAUGCGCCAUGCCCGCCUCCUGUUCGACGGAAUGCCGCGCCGGGACGCCGUGUCCUGGAACACCCUCAUCGCGGGCUACUCCAGCCAGGGCGGGGCCGGCGCGCGCCUCUCGCUCGCCGCCUUCCGGGACGCGCGGGCCGGCGGCGUCCGGGCGGACAGGUUCACCUACGCCGCGGUGCUGGCGGCGUGCGGCAGGGCCGGGGACUGGAGGCAUGGCCGGGCGGCGCACGGGCUGGCCGUGGUGAGUGGGCUUGCGCAAGACGUGUUCCUGACCAACUCCGUCAUCGACAUGUACGCCAAGUGCAGGAUGAUCGACGAGGUGAGGCUGGUGUUCGACCGGGCUGAGGAGUGGGACGAGGCGUCGUGGAACCUGCUGCUGUCGGCAUACGUGCGCAUGGGGUGGCCGGAGGUGGCCGUGCACGUGCUCGUCUGGAUGCACCGGUCAGGGGUCAAGCUUGAUAGCUUUGCCUUGGGUGGGAUCCUCAAGGCUUGCUCCGAGCUCCAGGGCUCCGAGGAUGUCCGGAGGAUGCUGCAUGGCUGCGUGGUUAAGGUUGGUUUGGACUUGGAUAUGUUCGUUGGGAGUGCCAUGGUGGACAUGUAUGCCAAGAACGGUGGACUUGAGGAGGCGAUCAAGGUGUUUGACUGCAUCCCGAAUCAGAAUGCGGUGGUCUACGGUGCCAUGAUCGCGGGGUUCGCUCGCUUAGGUAAUGACCCUUGCCCUGAGAUUAGAAUCGAAGCUGUCAGGCUUUUCUCAGACUUGCUCCGGAUGAGUGUAAAACCGUCCAGGUUUACUUUCAAGAGUGUGCUCGAAGUCUGCAAUUUGACCAAUGCGGUGCACUGUGGGAGGUUGAUACACGCUCAUGUUAUAUUCAAUGGGUUUCAGGAUGACGAGUUCAUAGCAAAUGCGCUGAUCAACUUGUACUCCAAAGCACGGUCAGUAAGUGACAGUCUGAGAUGCUUCCAGAUGACUCCCAGGCAAGAUGUCGUCACAUGGACAUCCAUGAUUACAGCAUUCGCGCAUGAUGAGAAUUUCGAGAAGGCACUAGGCCUGUUCCUAGAGUUUCUUUCUGUUGGAAAAGAGCCAGACCAGUUCACCUUAUCGAGUGUGAUGAAUGCCUGUGCUGCUCUGAGUCUACCAGCAACCUGUAAGCAGAUACACUGUUAUACGGUCAAAUCUGGACUCGGUCAGUUCACUGUGUGCGGCAAUUCUCAGAUUUCUAUGUAUAGGAAUAUAGGUGAUAUUACAUGUCUGGAUAUAUUCUCAUGGUCUGCAAUGAUUUUGAGCUACGCAGUCCAUGGCCAUGAAGGCGAGGCUCUAGUGCUCCUGGAGAAGAUGAAGGAUUGUGGUGUCGUGAUAAAUGAUAAUGCUUUGUUUGCCGUUCUCAUUGCUUGCAGCCAGCAGGGGCUGGCAGAGGAAGGUUUCAGACAUUAUGAGAGCAUGCUAUCAGAUUAUGGCUGUUCCCCAAAUACGAAGCACAAAGCUUGCGUAGUUGAACUCCUUGGCCGUGUUGGCAAGAUGGCUGAGGCUGAAGAUUUCAUAAUGGGGUCUGGAUCAGAAAAUGACCCAAUACUUUGGCAUGCACUGUUGCGGGCAUGCAGAAUCCAUGGGGACAAAGAGAGAGGUAUAAAAACCGGAGAGAAAUUAAUGGAACUCGAGCCCUUCGCUGUUACUUCAUAUGUGGUGCUGUACAACCUCUACAUGGAUGCCGGCAAAAUCUCAUUGGCUAUGAAGACUAGAGGCCUGAUGAGAGAGCGAGGCAUGAGUAAGGAAGCCGGGAUUAGUUGGGCCGAGUUUGGGGGAUCCAUCCAUCAUUUUACUGAUGGAAAUAACUCCUGCCGACACAAUAAUGCAGUUCAUGCCAGAUUAGAAGAGAUGCUGGUCAGUGUGAAACAGAAGACCGAGCGUGGUGGAACGGACAUUUGGGAAUUAGGAUUCCAGAUUAGAAAGGAUGGCGAGACCUCACUUUCCAGACAUGGUGAACUGCUGGCGGUGGCUCUUGGGCUGUCCACUUUGCCAUCUGCUGCUCCUGUAACAGUUAUGAAGAACCAGAGGAUAUCCUGGGAAAGCCAUGAAACACUGAAGUUGCUAUCAGCAAGGGAAAACAGGGGAAUAAUUAUCAGAGAUCCGACCCAUUUUCAUCGUUUUGAUCAAGGUUCGUGCUCUUGCAGAGACUACUGGUAG